AUUUGGAGAAAAUGGCAGAGUCAAUGUGCUGUGACUCAAACUCAAAGGACUGCAGGUACAAUGAAUGCCCUGACUGCAAAAAUAGAGAUUUUCCAGUAGUAAUCGAGGGGGAUUUGCAAGCAAUAGUUUUUUCACACAGUGGACAACAGAGACUGUUCUCAGAGAGAAGAAGAAGGAAGGUAAAAAAGAGAAAGUGGAUGUCAAAAUGACAGUGAAAAAGAGGUCAGAGACGACUUUGGAGAACCUACUUGGGCUAUUCCAAUGCCAACUUACAAACUUCAAAAGACACCUCUUCAACAUAAAACGUCAAUUUACCUGCUACCGGGAACUAAAGAGGAGCAUGACGGAUCGUGAAUGCUUAAUUCAUGUAGAUUUUUCAGAAAACUACACCUGCAAGUACUCCUCUCAAAUCCAAGCUGUACACUUUGCAUCAAACCAGCAGCAGGCAACACUCCACACUGGAGUUCUACAUGUUGGUGGAGUGGAAGAACAUGUGUGCUUUGGCACAAUCAGCCCAUCAAAAGAAAAAGGCCCUGCAGCCAUAUGGACCCAUCUAUCACCGGUACUUGACCUGCUUAAGACUUCCUAUCCAAAUGUGACCGUGGUGCAUUUUUUCAGUGAUGGGCCAUGCACACAAUACAGGCAGAAAGGCAAUUUCUAUCUGCUCUGCACUAAGCUGCAGCAGUGUGGCUUCCAAUCAGGCACUUGGAAUUUUUUUGAGGCAAGCCACGGCAAAGGUGCUCCAGAUGGAGUUGGAGGCCUCCUCAAAAGGACAGCUGACAGGAUUGUCAGCCAUGGGAAAGACAUCCCUAGUGCUGAAAUCUUUUUCAAUGCACUGGUGGACGCACAGACCUCAGUAAAACUGUUCUACAUCACUGAGGAUGACAUAAAUGAAGCCACAAAGAGCAUGCCAGAUAAACUCCCUGUAGUGCCAUCAACCAUGAGCAUUCACCAAGUCACAACAGUUACUCCAGGACAAAUCAGCUACUGUGAUGUGAGCUGACUUUGCUCAAUGAGACAGACCCUGGAGUGUCAGUGUUAUGACUCCAAAACCUUCACCUUCGAGAUUCAGGACAGAGCCACACAGGAGGACAACAGUCAGAAUCCAUCUGUAAUUCCUUGGCAAAACUCAGACAUCAUAGGCCAGUGGUGUUGUCUGAAAUACGAUGGUGAUAUUUAU
RNAcentral lists this long non-coding RNA (1180 nucleotides) under Sparus aurata (gilthead seabream). RNAcentral describes it as "lncRNA (ENSSAUG00010005523.1)". The record is from RNAcentral. Lineage: Eukaryota; Metazoa; Chordata; Actinopteri; Spariformes; Sparidae.